This 380-nucleotide ribosomal RNA is filed under the name uncultured eukaryote. Its description in RNAcentral is "partial 18S ribosomal RNA". It matches the Rfam family "Eukaryotic small subunit ribosomal RNA", at positions 592 to 976 of the family's 1831-position model. The record is from RNAcentral.
CAAUAGCGUAUAUUAAAGUUGUUGCGGUUAAAAAGCUCGUAGUUGGAUUUCUGCUGAGAACGACCGGUCCGCCCUUUGGGUGUGUAUCUGGCUCUUUCUUGGCAUCUUCUUGGUGAACGUUGCUGCACUUGACUGUGUGGAGCGCUACCCAGGACUUUUACUUUGAGGAAAUUAGAGUGUUUCAAGCAGGCAUACGCCUUGAAUACAUUAGCAUGGAAUAAUAAGAUAGGACCUCGGUUCUAUUUUGUUGGUUUCUAGAGCUGAGGUAAUGAUUAAUAGGGAUAGUUGGGGGCAUUCGUAUUUAACUGUCAGAGGUGAAAUUCUUGGAUUUAUGAAAGACGAACUACUGCGAAAGCAUUUGCCAAGGAUGUUUUCAUUAA